UUGCCCUAUCCUGUGCUAUGUACACAUUUUAACUUCACUGUUUCGUUUCAGCUUUCAUGUGCUCAAGGAUGAGAUGUUCACCAGGCACACGCUGUUCCGCCAAUUUGCGAUGCUUGCUGACACGUCCUUCAAUUAUUCUAAAGUAAAGCCCUUGUUCGUGCAGUCUAAAAUUAACCUGGUAGAUCCCGGCUCUUCUGACAGUGACAGGCAUUCCUUGCCUAUGGUAGGUAACUUUUUCCCUAUUUAACAUUUAAUCAGUUGACAUUACUGAAUCUUAGUAAUGGAAUAUUCUGUUUUACCUUCAGGCAGACAAAUAUGCAGACAUAGUCAGUGAUCAGCUAUCCAUCAACGUGUCAUCAAAAGGUAAGAAUCUCUGUUGUUGGAAAAGAGGGCCACACACAGAACAAGGAGUUGG
Molecule: long non-coding RNA, 415 nt
Filed under: Dasypus novemcinctus (nine-banded armadillo)
Lineage: Eukaryota; Metazoa; Chordata; Mammalia; Cingulata; Dasypodidae
Description: lncRNA (ENSDNOG00000051906.1)
Source: RNAcentral